This 401-nucleotide unclassified non-coding RNA is filed under the name soil metagenome. RNAcentral's name for it is "partial contains 5.8S ribosomal RNA, internal transcribed spacer 2, and large subunit ribosomal RNA". The stretch from base 1 to 121 matches the Rfam family "5.8S ribosomal RNA", at positions 35 to 154 of the family's 154-position model. The record is from RNAcentral.
GAUGAAGAACGUAGCGAAAUGCGAUAAGUAAUGUGAAUUGCAGAAUUCAGUGAAUCAUCGAAUCUUUGAACGCACCUUGCGCCCUUUGGCUAUUCUGAAGGGCAUGCCUGUUUGAGUAUCAUGAACACCUCAACUCUCACGGUUCGCCGUGAUGAGCUUGGACUUUGGGGGUAUUGCCGACCCACCGCCGGCUCCUCUCAAAUGAAUCAGCUUGCCAGUGUCUGGUGGCAUCACAGGUGUGAUAACUAUCUACGCUUGUGGUUUUCCGCCAGGUAACCUCCAGCGAUGGAGGUUCGCUGGAGCUCACAAAUGUCUCUCCUCAGCGAAGACAGCUCUUGAACGUUUGAUCUCAAAUCAGGUAGGACUACCCGCUGAACUUAAGCAUAUCAAUAAGCGGAGGA